UUCGCCCUUGUUGAUCCCGCCGGACCCGACUGCUAUCAGAGUGGGACUAAGCCAUGCGAGUUAACGUAGCAAUACGUGGCAUACGGCUCAGUAACACGUAGUCAACAUGCCCAUGGGACGUGGAUAACCUCGGGAAACUGAGGAUAAACCGCGAUAGGUCAUGAUUUCUGGAAUGAUUCAUGGCCGAAAUCUACAUGGCCCCUGGAUUGGACUGCGGCCGAUCAGGCUGUUGGUGAGGUAAUGGCCCACCAAACCUGUUACCGGUACGGGCCCUGAGAGGAGGAGCCCGGAGAUGGGCACUGAGACAAGGGCCCAGGCCCUAUGGGGCGCAGCAGGCGCGAAACCUCUGCAAUAGGCGAAAGCCUGACAGGGUUACUCUGAGUGGUUUCCGCUAAGGGAAUCUUUUGGCACCUCUACAAAUGGUGCAGAAUAAGGGGUGGGCAAGUCUGGUGUCAGCCGCCGCGGUAAUACCAGCACCCCGAGUGGUCGGGACGAUUAUUGGGCCUAAAGCAUCCGUAGCCGGCCCUGCAAGUCUUCCGUUAAAUCCAGCUGCUCAACAGAUGGGCUGCGGAGGAUACUACAGGGCUAGGAGGCGGGAGAGGCAAGCGGUACUUUAUGGGUAGGGGUAAAAUCCGUUGAUCCAU
RNAcentral lists this ribosomal RNA (644 nucleotides) under uncultured archaeon. RNAcentral's name for it is "bacterial SSU rRNA". It matches the Rfam family "Archaeal small subunit ribosomal RNA", at positions 1 to 650 of the family's 1478-position model. The record is from RNAcentral.